UAAUUUACGGCUGUAUCGAAAGUACAAGUAUACGUAGGUAUUAGCCGGUACCUAUUAUAGUAUUAACGCGAUAGCCUUAUUCAUUCUCUUGCGAUUCCGAACUGAUUUUAUAAUUUGUCAUACAACGCGAAUAUAUUUUGUGUUUAUAAAUUGUGAGUCUAAUCAAAAAUACUACCUACUUAUCAGAUACCUACAUAAACCUAUACAUAUAAUAUGAAAUCAAUCGUAUGACUCAAUCAAUCUAAUUUUCGCAAGAUUCGUUCAACAUAUUGUUAUUUCAUAACAGUGAUGACCGGUAUUCCUAAAUAUGUGUUGAAUCCCACUC
Cinara cedri is the source of this 325-nucleotide non-coding RNA. Lineage: Eukaryota; Metazoa; Arthropoda; Insecta; Hemiptera; Aphididae. The record is from the annotation of a GenBank genome assembly.